Molecule: ribosomal RNA, 267 nt
Filed under: uncultured prokaryote
Description: partial 16S ribosomal RNA
Rfam family: Bacterial small subunit ribosomal RNA
Source: RNAcentral
UACGUAGGGGUGCGAGCGUUAACUCGGAAUUACCGGGCGUAAAGCGUGCGCAGGCGGUUUGCUAAGACAGGUGUGAAAUCCCCGGGCUUAACCUGGGAACUGCGCUUGUGACUGGCAGGCUAGAGUACGGCAGAGGGGGGUGGAAUUCCUGGUGUAGCAGUGAAAUGCGUAGAUAUCAGGAGGAACACCGAUGGCGAAGGCAGCCCCCUGGGACUGUACUGACGCUCAUGCACGAAAGCGUGGGGAGCAAACAGGAUUAGAUACCCU